Molecule: ribosomal RNA, 176 nt
Filed under: Gastrotheca phalarosa
Lineage: Eukaryota; Metazoa; Chordata; Amphibia; Anura; Hemiphractidae
Description: partial 16S ribosomal RNA
Source: RNAcentral
CCUACGUGAUCUGAGUUCAGACCGGAGAAAUCCAGGUCAGUUUCUAUCUAUAAGAAGUCUUCUUUAGUACGAAAGGACCGAUAAGACACGGCCAAUGCAUCAGCAAGCCCUCCUCCCCAAUUUAUGACUCAAGCUCAAUAAACAACUAGUUCAACACCAAGCCUUAGAAAAAGGCA